RNAcentral lists this ribosomal RNA (236 nucleotides) under uncultured bacterium. Its description in RNAcentral is "partial 16S ribosomal RNA". It matches the Rfam family "Bacterial small subunit ribosomal RNA", at positions 28 to 261 of the family's 1533-position model. The record is from RNAcentral.
GACGAACGCUGGCGGCGUGCCUAACACAUGCAAGUCGAACGGGACCAGGGGCAACUCUGGUUCAGUGGCGGACGGGUGCGUAACACGUGAGGAACAUGACCUUCGGCGGGGAGUAGCCGGCCCAACGGCCGGGUAAGUACCGCGUACGACCACUUGGGGACGAUCCCUACGGUGGUGAAAGACAGCAAUGCGCCGAUGGAGUGCCUCGCGGCCUAUCAGCUAGUUGGUGGAGGAAC